This 504-nucleotide ribosomal RNA is filed under the name Escherichia coli. RNAcentral describes it as "partial 23S ribosomal RNA". It matches the Rfam family "Bacterial large subunit ribosomal RNA", at positions 1380 to 1869 of the family's 2925-position model. The record is from RNAcentral. Lineage: Bacteria; Pseudomonadati; Pseudomonadota; Gammaproteobacteria; Enterobacterales; Enterobacteriaceae.
UGAGUCGACCCCUAAGGCGAGGCCGAAAGGCGUAGUCGAUGGGAAACAGGUUAAUAUUCCUGUACUUGGUGUUACUGCGAAGGGGGGACGGAGAAGGCUAUGUUGGCCGGGCGACGGUUGUCCCGGUUUAAGCGUGUAGGCUGGUUUUCCAGGCAAAUCCGGAAAAUCAAGGCUGAGGCGUGAUGACGAGGCACUACGGUGCUGAAGCAACAAAUGCCCUGCUUCCAGGAAAAGCCUCUAAGCAUCAGGUAACAUCAAAUCGUACCCCAAACCGACACAGGUGGUCAGGUAGAGAAUACCAAGGCGCUUGAGAGAACUCGGGUGAAGGAACUAGGCAAAAUGGUGCCGUAACUUCGGGAGAAGGCACGCUGAUAUGUAGGUGAAGUCCCUCGCGGAUGGAGCUGAAAUCAGUCGAAGAUACCAGCUGGCUGCAACUGUUUAUUAAAAACACAGCACUGUGCAAACACGAAAGUGGACGUAUACGGUGUGACGCCUGCCCGGUGC